Oncorhynchus gorbuscha (pink salmon) is the source of this 465-nucleotide long non-coding RNA. RefSeq lists it as uncharacterized. NCBI's taxonomy places the organism in Eukaryota, Metazoa, Chordata, Actinopteri, Salmoniformes, Salmonidae. The record is from RefSeq and is a predicted model, not a curated record. The transcript has 3 exons.
AGAGCCCUGACAGGCCGGUUGAGACUGCGGAUGCCCCAGUCCCCGUCCCCUCGGCCGCUGGCAGCACACUUCCUGGCAAACAGGAAGCGGAAGUGGUUACAAACUCCCAAAUUGCGGUGCGGCCUAAAAGCAGUCCCUUCGGGGGAGUGAAGAGGGAGGAAGACGAGGAUGGAGAGAGGGCAGGACCAUCUGGUCAGUGCGCUGUCCGUCCUUCCUCCUCCUCCUCCUCUUCUUCCUCUCCUCCCUCCGCUCCCUUCAUCCCUUUCUCUGGAGGGGGUCAGAGGCUGGGGGGGCCGGGGGUGAGCGGUGUAGGAGCAUCAUCAUCAUCAUCAUCAUCAUCAUCAUCAUUGGUUGGCGGGCCGCCUAAAGCCAAGAAAUGUAAACCCAACAACACCAAGAGCCAAGCCAGUGCCAAACAGGAUGACUGGGCCGUGGUAGAGGAGGUUCUGCAGCCGGUGGACAGGA